RNAcentral lists this ribosomal RNA (271 nucleotides) under uncultured bacterium. Its description in RNAcentral is "partial 16S ribosomal RNA". It matches the Rfam family "Bacterial small subunit ribosomal RNA", at positions 83 to 354 of the family's 1533-position model. The record is from RNAcentral.
UUCCGCCGGCGACCGGCGCACGGGUGAGUAACACGUAUGCAACCUGCCCCUGUCAGGGGACAACCCGCCGAAAGGCGGGCUAAACCCGCGUACAUGCCACCGGGGCAUCCCGGAGGCAGGAAAGGCUUCGGCCGGACAGGGAUGGGCAUGCGGCGCAUUAGGCAGUAGGCGGGGUAACGGCCCACCUAACCGACGAUGCGUAGGGGUUCUGAGAGGAAGGUCCCCCACACUGGUACUGAGACACGGACCAGACUCCUACGGAAGGCAGCAG